RNAcentral lists this ribosomal RNA (497 nucleotides) under uncultured bacterium. RNAcentral's name for it is "partial 16S ribosomal RNA". It matches the Rfam family "Bacterial small subunit ribosomal RNA", at positions 28 to 507 of the family's 1533-position model. The record is from RNAcentral.
GAUGAACGCUGGCGGCGUGCCUAAUACAUGCAAGUCGAGCGAACAGACGAGGAGCUUGCUCCUCUGACGUUAGCGGCGGACGGGUGAGUAACACGUGGAUAACCUACCUAUAAGACUGGGAUAACUUCGGGAAACCGGAGCUAAUACCGGAUAAUAUAUUGAACCGCAUGGUUCAAUAGUGAAAGACGGUUUUGCUGUCACUUAUAGAUGGAUCCGCGCCGCAUUAGCUAGUUGGUAAGGUAACGGCUUACCAAGGCAACGAUGCGUAGCCGACCUGAGAGGGUGAUCGGCCACACUGGAACUGAGACACGGUCCAGACUCCUACGGGAGGCAGCAGUAGGGAAUCUUCCGCAAUGGGCGAAAGCUUGACGGAGCAACGCCGCGUGAGUGAUGAAGGUCUUCGGAUCGUAAAACUCUGUUAUUAGGGAAGAACAAAUGUCUAAGUAACUAUGCACGUCUUGACGGUACCUAAUCAGAAAGCCACGGCUAACUACGUG